RNAcentral lists this ribosomal RNA (254 nucleotides) under uncultured bacterium. RNAcentral describes it as "partial 16S ribosomal RNA". It matches the Rfam family "Bacterial small subunit ribosomal RNA", at positions 524 to 776 of the family's 1533-position model. The record is from RNAcentral.
CACGUAGGGUGCGAGCGUUGUCCGGAAUUAUUGGGCGUAAAGAGCUCGUAGGCGGUGUGUCGCGUCGGCCGUGAAAACUUGGGGCUUAACUCUGAGCGUGCGGUCGAUACGGGCAUCACUUGAGUUCGGCAGGGGAGACUGGAAUUCCUGGUGUAGCGGUGAAAUGCGCAGAUAUCAGGAGGAACACCGGUGGCGAAGGCGGGUCUCUGGGCCGAUACUGACGCUGAGGAGCGAGAGCGUGGGGAGCGAACAGG